UACGUAGGUGGCAAGCGUUGUCCGGAAUUAUUGGGCGUAAAGCGCGCGCAGGCGGUUUCUUAAGUCUGAUGUGAAAGCCCACGGCUCAACCGUGGAGGGUCAUUGGAAACUGGGGAACUUGAGUGCAGGAGAGGAGAGUGGAAUUCCAGGUGUAGCGGUGAAAUGCGUAGAGAUGUGGAGGAACACCAGUGGCGAAGGCGGCGUCCUGGACCAACACUGACGCUGAGGAGCGAAAGCCAGGGGAGCAAACGGG
RNAcentral lists this ribosomal RNA (253 nucleotides) under uncultured bacterium. RNAcentral's name for it is "partial 16S ribosomal RNA". It matches the Rfam family "Bacterial small subunit ribosomal RNA", at positions 524 to 776 of the family's 1533-position model. The record is from RNAcentral.